Molecule: long non-coding RNA, 1750 nt
Organism: Bubalus bubalis (water buffalo)
Lineage: Eukaryota; Metazoa; Chordata; Mammalia; Artiodactyla; Bovidae
Exons: 4
Source: RefSeq, a predicted model, not a curated record
GGGCGUGAGUCUGAGUGAACUCCAGGAGUUGGUAAUGGACAGGGAGGCCUGGUGUGCUGCGAUUCAUGGGGUCGCAAAGAGUCGGACACGACUGAGCGACUGAACUGAACUGAACUGAAACAAGUAAACAAUGAUGUGAACACUUUUUAAGUCUCUUGCUGUUUGCAGCUGUUGUAACUUUGCCAUUUGAUGUGGUAAAAACACAAAAGCAGACACAACUUUGGAUAUAUGAAAGCCAGAAAAUUUCUAUGCCUUUGCAAAUGUCAACCUGGACUAUAAUGAAGAACAUUGUUGCUAAGAAUGGAUUUUCUGGAUUAUUUACAGGACUGAUUCCUCGUUUAAUUAAAAUUGCUCCUGCUUGUGCGGUUAUGAUCAGUACAUAUGAAUUUGGGAAGUCUUUUUUCCAGAAACAAAAUGCUCAAAGACAGCGAUACUAGAGAUGCUGUUUCAACCUGAAAUAACAGCCAUGACCAAAUAAUAAGAGGAGACUCUUAGGCAAGAGCUUUUUUCACUUUUUUUUGCUAUUAUCUUACAGUGGUUUUCUAUCAUUCUUGUCUAUAAUUUAAAUGAAUAGAAUGAUUAAAUGCAAAGUAGAGAUUUACUAACUUCACAUUUUUAUCCUAAUUUUUGAGAAUUUGAAAAAGAUAUUCCAGAAAUCAUAACCAUUGAGCAUUCCUGUAAAGAAGAGAAAAAUUAUUCUACACUGAAAGCAAUAAUCUCAGAGUUUGGUACAGAUUUCUGUGUAACUUCAUCCUGUUGGGAGCGUCAGAGUCGUCAAACAUUUUUGCAGUUGUGUGCUGAAUGAUGUACAGCGUCUAAGAGAAUUCCCAAGUCUUUUAUACAUGUUUAAAUCAUGGACAUAGAUACAUAAGUGUUUCAACAAAGUAGAUAAUGGAAAGCAGUCUUUAAAUAUUAUUAUUCACAUCAUUUACCAAAUAUUGCCUAUCAGUUAUUUUCUUUAAUUCAUAUGUAUUUGGGUGUUCCCCCCUCCCCCCGCCCUGUUACUAUUUUAAGGCCUCAUGUGUAUUAAGAUUUCUCUGAUCCGAGGUAUGGCUCUCUUACGUUCAUGAACCAAAAAUAUAACUUGUGUGAUAUUGAUGCUGCUAUUUUUGAUGUCUAAAGACCCCGUAUUAUCUACUGUUUCUGUGAGAGAAGCGUUCACUGGCCGUAUUCAAUGUUCACUUCAAACUUGGGUGUGCAGUGGAAAAGCACGUUGCGUUCAGGCAGUGAGAAGGCCGUUUCAGCAUAAGAAAGGCCUCUGGUUUCAACUGUCUUGCCAUCAGGUAUUACCGUUUGUGAAGUUCUCUAGGUCACGUCUGUUCUCUUGUUCUAACGUCACUGAGACAGAGUAUGUUCAAGAUGUCCCUUGACUUUACACAUCUCACACGAGUGUGCUAGACCAAGAACUACCCAGCCAGUUUCCUUGAAGAAGAGCUUUUGGUCACUGGAGGCUAAUGCCUAAGAAGUUUAGUUUAUGAAUGUAAGAAUGAAAAAGAAUAUGAUUUCAAGACAAACAAUAUUUUUAAAUAUUUUUGUUUUUCUCAGGAUCUGUAUACUCUAAGAAAAAGCACUUUAUUGCAGUCUAUCUAUCUGUAUUUUAUGAAAAUGUGAAACAUUUUUUCCCCAAAAUGGAGUAAUAUAUAUUUAAGUGACAAAUCUCUAGUGUUGGUAGGAAUUAAUGUAUUUUCUAAUAUAGUAGAAAACUAUUUAAUGUUUCACCUGAAAUAAACUAUAUAGGGUUUGUAUUUAA